UACGUAGGGUGCGAGCGUUGUCCGGAAUUAUUGGGCGUAAAGAGCUCGUAGGCGGUCUGUCGCGUCGAAUGUGAAAACCCGGGGCUCAACUCCGGGCUUGCAUUCGAUACGGGCAGGCUAGAGUGCGGUAGGGGAGACUGGAAUUCCUGGUGUAGCGGUGAAAUGCGCAGAUAUCAGGAGGAACACCGGUGGCGAAGGCGGGUCUCUGGGCCGUAACUGACGCUGAGGAGCGAAAGCGUGGGGAGCGAACAGG
RNAcentral lists this ribosomal RNA (253 nucleotides) under uncultured bacterium. RNAcentral describes it as "partial 16S ribosomal RNA". It matches the Rfam family "Bacterial small subunit ribosomal RNA", at positions 524 to 776 of the family's 1533-position model. The record is from RNAcentral.